RNAcentral lists this long non-coding RNA (378 nucleotides) under Lathyrus oleraceus (garden pea). RNAcentral's name for it is "Pisum sativum (pea) long non-coding RNA (PSAT_LNC013095)". Lineage: Eukaryota; Viridiplantae; Streptophyta; Magnoliopsida; Fabales; Fabaceae. The record is from RNAcentral.
CUAAGGGAGCAUUCCCAAACAUUCAACUCUACACAAUUUCCCUUUCUUUGAUCCCUUUUUUUUUUUUUUACAUCCACACAACCAUGAGCAUUUUCUUUGCUUUUUUCUUUCUUUUCUUCGCUUUAUGGUUUCAAGGGUGGUUUCUUUUUCUUGUUUCUUUUCAUAUUUUCACCCUUUCAUAAAAACUCACUUUCCCAAGUUUCUAAUCAACUUUUCACUUUACUCUCCCCAACUUUAGAUUUCAAAACCAAAUUUAUUCAAUAAUGCUCCCUACUUAGAAAUAAGCAAAAGGCAAAAUUUGCAAACAACUCGAUUUGAGGUUUCAAUUGACACGAAAGAAAUUAGGAUUCAUUUAUUCCACAAUUUUCAAUUGAUUUU